Molecule: transfer RNA, 94 nt
Filed under: Danio rerio (zebrafish)
Lineage: Eukaryota; Metazoa; Chordata; Actinopteri; Cypriniformes; Danionidae
Rfam family: tRNA
About the family: Transfer RNA (tRNA) molecules are approximately 80 nucleotides in length. Their secondary structure includes four short double-helical elements and three loops (D, anti-codon, and T loops). Further hydrogen bonds mediate the characteristic L-shaped molecular structure. tRNAs have two regions of fundamental functional importance: the anti-codon, which is responsible for specific mRNA codon recognition, and the 3' end, to which the tRNAs corresponding amino acid is attached (by aminoacyl-tRNA synthetases). tRNAs cope with the degeneracy of the genetic code in two manners: having more than one tRNA (with a specific anti-codon) for a particular amino acid; and 'wobble' base-pairing, i.e. permitting non-standard base-pairing at the 3rd anti-codon position.
Source: Rfam by way of RNAcentral
GCUCCAGUGGCGCAAUCAGUCAGAGCGUGGUACUUAUAAGACAGUACAAUGUUUAGCAAUGCCGAGGUUGUGAGUUCGAACCUCAUCUGGAGCA